This is a long non-coding RNA of Mytilus californianus (California mussel), 2549 nucleotides long. RefSeq lists it as uncharacterized. The transcript is spliced from 13 exons. The record is from RefSeq and is a predicted model, not a curated record. NCBI's taxonomy places the organism in Eukaryota, Metazoa, Mollusca, Bivalvia, Mytilida, Mytilidae.
GCCCCAGGAUAUUUACAUCAGGACAGGUAACAUAUGCAUCGGAAAGUAAGUAUAUUUUUUUUUAUUUAUUAAUAGUUGUCUAAUAGAUAUUAAAAUAAUUUGAAUAUGUAUUACAGAUAGACGGGAGCCAACAGAGAAGAAGAAGACAGUACAGUCCUAGACAUGGAGAUGAUUAAAUUGUAGAUGCCAAGAUGAUGAUAUACCAGCCCCAGGAUAUUUACGUCAGGACAGGUAACAUAUGCAUCGGAAAGUAAGUAUAUUUUUUUUAUUUAUUAAUAGUUGUCUAAUAGAUAUUAAAAUAAUUUGAAUAUGUAUUACAGAUAGACGGGAGCCAACAGAGAAGAAGAAGACAGUACAGUCCUAGACAUAGAGAUGAUUAAAUUGUAGAUGCCAAGAUGAUGAUAUUCCAGGAGCAGGUAAUUUACAUCAUACCAGGCUGUCCCGUGGACAUGUUUAUAUUACAGACGGAUGAAGCCCAGAGGAACAUUACAGACGGAUGGAGCCCAGAGGAACAUACAGUCCUAGACCUGAAGUUGCCAGAUAAUGAUGAUGAAGGUUAUUACAGCAACUGUUUUCAUGGAUGGGGAGUAAAACUGGGUGGUCUAAUACUUUUCAUAAAUUAACAAAAUAACAACAUGACUGGUGGAUUCAAUUCUAGGUACCAGUGAAGAAAUUAAAAGUGAAGACUUGCGACGGAAAAUCCAGGAAACAGGUCUUUUACUGAACAGUAUGAGAGAGCCAAGAUGAUUGUUGGAUUUAAACUGCUUGGAAAAUACCACCAAAUGAAGACAAAAAAUGCACUGCAUCAACAAACAAAUCAUCUACUGGAAUGUCAGGGCAUCAGUACCUAGUUCUGAUUCUAAAAACAAUUGUUCAAAAUAAAUGGAGAAUGUGACACAGAUGAUGACCCUGCUUGCAUAUAACAUUAUAAAGGGACAAACAGUAAAAUUGAUGCCAUUUAAAUUCAAAGCUGAACAGUGUUUUGUGAUUCCAGGAGCAGGUAAUUUACAUCAUACCAGGCUGUCCCGUGGACAUGUUUAUAUUACAGACGGAUGAAGCCCAGAGGAACAUUACAGGCGGUUGGAGCCCAGAGGAACAUACAGUCCUAGACCUGAAGUUGCUAGAUAAUGAUGAUGAAGGUUAUUACAGCAACUGUUUUCAUGGAUGGGGAGUAAAACUGGGUGGUCUAAUACUUUUCAUAAAUUAACAAAAUAACAACACGACUGGUGGAUUCAAUUCUAGGAACCAGUGAAGAAAUUAAAAGUGAAGACUUGCGACGGAAAAUCCAGGAAACAGGUCUUUUACUGAACAGUAUGAGAGAGCCAAGAUGAUUGUUGGAUUUAAACUGCUUGGAAAAUACCACCAAAUGAAGACAAAAAAUGCACUGCAUCAACAAACAAAUCAACUACUGGAAUGUCAGGGCAUCAGUACCUAGUUCUGAUUCUAAAAACAAUUGUUCAAAAUAAAUGGAGAAUGUGACACAGAUGAUGACCCUGCUUGCAUAUAACAUUAUAAAGGGACAAACAGUAAAAUUGAUGCCAUUUAAAUUCAAAGCUGAACAGUGUUUUGUGAUGAAGAUUUGGAUCCUUUUGGCUUGAAAGAUUGUCAGGAACAUGAAGAAACUGAAUCCAUUAUGAACAUAUGUACACAAACAGACAAAAUAACAACAACACUGGUUGAUACAAUUCUAGGAACUGGUGAAGAAGUUAAGUUUUACAAAAUACAGAAGACUUGCAACGGAAAAUCCCGGAAUGAGGUCUUUUACUGAACAGUAUGAGAGAGUCAAGAUGAAUGUUGGAUUUAAACUGCUUGAAAAAUACAACCAAAUGAAGACAAAAAAUGCAUCAACAAACAAAUCAACUAAUGGAACGUUGGGGCAUCAGUACCUAGUUCUGACUCUAAAAGCAAUUGUUCAAAAUAAAUGGAGAAUGUGACACAGAUGAUGACCCUGCUUGCAUAUAUUAACAUUAUAAAGGGACAAACAGUUAAUUGAUGCAGUUUAAAUUCAAAGCUGAACAGUGUUUUGUGAUGAAAAUAUGAAUCCUUUUGGCUUGAAAGAUUGUCAGGAACAUGAAGAAACUGAAUCCAUUAUAAACAUAUCUACAUAAACAGAUGAAGAUUUGGAUCCUUUUGGCUUGAAAGAUUGUCAGGAACAUGAAGAAACUGAAUCCAUUAUAAACAUAUGUGCACAAACAGACAAAAUAACAUCAACACUGGUUGAUACAAUUCUAGGAACCGGCGAAGAAGUUAAAAGUUUUACAAAAUACAGAAGACUUGCAACGGAAAAUCCAGGAAACAGGUCUUUUACUGAACAGUAUGAGAGAGCCAAGAUGAUUGUUGGAUUUAAACCGCUUGGAAAAUACAACCAAAUGAAGACAAAAAAUGCAUCAACAAACAAAACAACUAAUGGAACGUUGGGGCAUCAGUACCUAGUUCUGAUUCUAAAAACAUUGUUCAAAAUCUUCUACAAGGUUUAGAAGACUGUACAUACAUGUAUAUAUUUAUAUUUAUAUUUAUAUAAGAAAGGGAAAAAAAAAAAAAAAAAAUAA